RNAcentral lists this unclassified non-coding RNA (687 nucleotides) under uncultured Sinorhizobium sp. Its description in RNAcentral is "partial 16S-23S ribosomal RNA intergenic spacer". The stretch from base 47 to 118 matches the Rfam family "tRNA". The record is from RNAcentral. Lineage: Bacteria; Pseudomonadati; Pseudomonadota; Alphaproteobacteria; Hyphomicrobiales; Rhizobiaceae.
UGCGGCGCUAUGCGCCGUCGGGUGCACGACGUGUUCACCCGAAUAUGGGGCUGUAGCUCAGCUGGGAGAGCACUGCUUUGCAAGCAGGGGGUCAGCGGUUCGAUCCCGCUCAGCUCCACCAUUCGAUUGGUGUUGAACUGGCGGAUAUUAUCCUUGGAGAAAAAAUAGGUUUGCAUCGUCUCCAUCGUGAGACGGAUGCCUGUUCUGCUUACAUUGUGAAGAGAAGAUAUGUCUGGAAGCUUCCAGGUGUUGAUGGUGAUCGAAAGGUUGCCUGAGACGUCCGAGCCCAGUCCCGAAGAAGCCAUGGAUGGUCUAGCCGACCGGAAGUGGAAGAGGGUCUGGAGGUAGGAGGGAAGUCUUGUCCUUUGAGGCAUGAUCGUUGUUGGGGUGUUCUUCGGAACGCGCCUCUGAUGGUCGUGUCGGAUUGGUGUUGCCUGACCGCGCAUCACCGGACAGAUCUCGAGAAGCUGGUCUUAAGAUAUGGCCUCGAAGUCGCUCGGCGUGACUUUUGUGAGGACCAUAUCGAACACGUCGAUGGCAUUGUUAGAAAGCGCGAUUGUAAAAGGUAAUCGCGCAUAGCUGGUCUGGUGACUGCAAGGUCUCCGGAUUUUGGCUGCUGCGGCAUACGAAAGUUGCCCGGAUGGCCAGAUUUGGCACCCCUUCGAGCGCAAGCGAGGAGGAUAGGUU